UUGAUGAUUCCUGAAGCCAAGCCCCACACUUCGCUACGAUAGAUCAGAGUUGGUGUAACAAGCAAAGGAUGAAAACAAGAGUAGAAUCACCUUUGAACAUUCUAGCAAGAACAAGUGAACAACAAUAUAGCAUGUAUUUAAGAUAUUAGCACAGGAAAAAAAUAAAUUUGAGAAUACAACUGCCGGGAUUGGGUGCUGCAUAUGUUCGGACCGGUUCUGUUUCCCGACGGCAAUGGUGACGCUGCUUCGUGGAUGUACAUACAUUGCCUUCGAGACUGGGAUGAGGCAGGUGGCUACAGCUGGGGAUCAGCUGUCCUAGGCUUCCUUUACCGCCAGCUGUGCGAGGCACGCAGACAGCAUGCACCGACCUCCACUAUGUCAGGCUGCAUCUUCCUUCUUCAGUAGUUCAGUUGUGGAUGUGGAGCCGACUACCGGUGGGUAGACCCAGGGUGUUUCAGCCUCUCCCCUAGAGCCCUGUUGGUGUGGACGAGUUAGAUCUGACGGUGGCAUACCUUUGGGACCAUGUCUCCUCUCCAUACGCCACCACCCAAUGUGCGUAUGUCGACUAUAGCAGUUGGACGUUCUCAGCCCUUCUACAGUUGUGUGGGAGCGGUAUCUAGACGAGCAGGUACUUGGGACGCCUCUAAAACCAAUGUGCAGGCAGACGAGGACCUGUGGAGUGUUAGGUGCCCUCUAAUUUGCUUCUACACCGUCAAUUCACUUGCCUCACAGGGUGGCCCGCUAGUUUGGGUCGCUGCAUAGCUGCCCCCUGAGGAGGUUUCGACCUUGACCGACUUGCACAAGUACAUGUUUUUGCUUUCUAUCUACGGCUUCGUAUUGUUCAUGUGGCUUACAAUUGUGGUUCAACUCUGAAAGUGAUCUAAUGCUCUAGACUAAGAGGAGGAGGGGGUGAAUUAG
Molecule: long non-coding RNA, 918 nt
Organism: Panicum virgatum (switchgrass)
Lineage: Eukaryota; Viridiplantae; Streptophyta; Magnoliopsida; Poales; Poaceae
Exons: 2
Source: RefSeq, a predicted model, not a curated record